This 6162-nucleotide long non-coding RNA is filed under the name Aplysia californica (California sea hare). RNAcentral describes it as "protein FAM81A". The record is from RNAcentral. Lineage: Eukaryota; Metazoa; Mollusca; Gastropoda; Aplysiida; Aplysiidae.
GAAAAGUUGGGUAAAAAAAUUGAUGAAGGCCAGUAUGUGACAGAUGCUCGAAUUGCCAAGUUGGAGGAAGCUCUGCUGGAAUCACGGAAUCACAUGAAUGAUGUUCAUUUGUCAUUGGAGACCAAGCUUCUCACGAAAAUAGACAAAACUGUACACAAACAUUCUGAGGAGAUUGCCAGGCUGAAGAGAGAAUGUCGUGAGGGAUUUGCCACUGUGCAUGAAAGCAUCAGCAAUAUGAAAACUGUCAUGGAAGGCAAGAGGAAAUUGUUGGAAGACCAGCUGAGGAAAGAAAUUGGACAGUUACGCAAAAUGGUUGUUUUGGUUUAGAAGAGACCAAAUGUGUUGGACGUGUACGUUAAGUCAAAAUUCCAGUAUUAGAUAGCCCUUUACGGAAUUAAACUCUUUUUGUACACAACUUUACACUUACAAUCAAGCUUUUGUUUUCUGAUAACACAACACAAAUUUACUCAAUUUUUUAUCAAUGUGAAUAGAUCGCAUUCUUCAGAAUCUAACUUUCAAAAUGUGCAUUUGCACUUUCAUACGCAAAGGUAAAGAUAAGGAUAGAUAUGAAACCUCAGGUCAUACUAUUUGUUUUCUUCCUAAAAAAAACAGAUUCAUUUCUAUAUAAUAUAUGGUUAAAAACUAUAUCGAGAAGUAUUAUUCUGUGUUUCAAAUGUCACAAUUUUGAAGAACUGUGUACUCUUUUUGUAUCUCUGUAUAGCGUAAUUUGUGUAGUAAAAAAGAUGCUAAGUUAUUCUCGGAAAUUUUUAUAGAAACCUAUUAUAAUAUCGGCGACUCUUCUUCACAGCUCUCUAGCUUGAUAACAAGGUAUCUUUUCAUACAAAUAUUCAAGACAAUUUUUUAUUUGUUAAGUUUUUUCUGGAUUUGACAAUAAAAAUGGCAACAAUCCACAAAAACUGGCAUUGCAUCUUGUGGGUGUAGAAAUUAAACUUGAUUCAGCAGCAAUGUAAAUGAACACUAAGAAUUCAGGUUUAAUUUCUACUUAUGUAAGUGCAGAUAAGAAUUCUGAAGAGUAGCUCAGUGUCUUCAGUUUGAGGAGAUAUGUAAAGCUUUUACUGCAGCAUUUUCUCCUACAUACUUCUCACACACUCACAUACACCCCCCCCCCCUCCCAAUCAAUAUAAUUUAGAGUGUUUAAGGGACAGGCCUCUAUAACACUACUUAUCUAGGUCAACAACAGAUGUGGGAUAUAUCCCAGCAGGAAGACACUAAUAUGCAGUCAAAUUUCUUCCCCGAAUGGGAAUCAAACUCCCAUCCCCUGCAUGCAAAACGGAAAGGCGACCCAUUACACUGUGGAUGCCUGUAAUAGAAACUUGUAUGAGUUUGCUAAACCUAGAAAGGUCCCUUUAUGAGGGACAAGAGAGCAAGGAACAGUAGUCAAUAAGGUAUUAUUAAGUAAGCUUUCUGCUUGGGAUCUUUUUUUUUUUUUUUAAACAAUAGGCCUAUGUUUGGAUUUCAUAUAUGCAUUAUCCCUUUAUGAUAUAUAUAUUAUAUUAUAUUUACAUCACACUUGUUAUUGAAUACUGCACGAAAGUAUUAAAUGUCACUUCACCAUAAGUGCCUGAUUUUCCACUGUCCAACACAAUACGAAUUGUUGUUAUUUUUGCUUGCAGUUAUAUCUUCUUCAUAUUUGUGCAGAGGUAUUGAAAUUGAGGGUUUUUUUGCGUUAAGAUCUGAAGACAUAAUAUGGCCAUACUUUUGUAAAGUCAUGACUUUAUGAUAGGGAUGUUGGUGAUGCUUCCAGUGUUGAGGCUUGAUAAAGAGGUCUUCCCCAUCAGACAGGAUAAAAUACUUUUCAAUUUGUUGUCUUGGCUUUGUUCUUGGCGCAAUGGCAAAACAGAACAUAAACUUCACAUGCUUUUAAAAACACCACUAUUGUUACUUUUGAUUAAAGAUGGCAUUGUCGUUUGGUUCAAUCUUUCUCACUUUUGAAUCAGUGCUCUUAAAUGAUUCUUGAUAUGGCUUGGUAGAGCUUGUGUUUGUGUAAAUUUAAAGGCAAGAUUGAAAACGGGCUAAACAAACACGUAUGUGAGGCAGUGGAGUGAAAUCAGGUGUUUGUUGAAAAAAUGAAAUUGAAGAAACAAGGAUUUUUCUGCCUGAUUGGUUUAAUUGGCUCAAGACCUUUUAUGUUCGUUUAAGAACACAACUCUAUUUUGACUUUACUAACAAAUGUCAAUUAAAGUGCAUAACAAAUGUAAAUUUUUCAGUUUCCGCAGACUCUCAAACUAUGAAAUCAACCAAACUAUGGUGGCCAUUCUGUCAUUAAUUUUACCUCUGAAACUAUUCUACCCCCACCUCUUUCAAUCGCAUAUAUCUCGACUUUUAUUCAAGAUAAAUAGGUAUUUUUUUCAUUGAAGCAAGACAAAGGAACAAACUUUAAGAUGAUACAAAAAAGUCAACGCACCUUAAAAUUGACAAACGUCUGAAUCCACCGCGUUAGGGCGCAUAUUUUUACUAAACUUUUUUAAAAUGUCAAAAUAAUGAUAGUGGACAAGUUCUGGUUAAACUAAAUAUGACCUCAUAUUUGGUAAGAGUUCAAAGAACAUCAAUAUAUUCCUCUACAUGCAAUGAAAUAAAAAGUGAAUAAUGGAUUGACUCCUUUCAAGUAAGAAAUGGUAAGACAUUUAUUUUGUGUUGCUCUAUUCUGAGGCAUCUCACACAAAAAACAUCACUGGGAUAAAAUUUUCAGGUUGAAGGGUGUUUGUUCUUUUUUCCAAUUCAUCGGUUGCCAUUUAUUGAAAAAUCAACAUGUUAAGCAAUUAUGUUUUUGGUUUUUUUACUCGUACUCACAAAAGUUGGAAUGCAGUUGUGAGCGCCGUAAAACCUCUUCUAAAACAAAACAAACAAAAGUUGGAAAGUGACUUUUUAAAAGGAUUUUUUUCAAAUUCAAUUAACCUGUUGUUGUACCAAAAAAUCCUCAGAGUCAGAGGGUUUGUGUAACUAAGCUCUUUUUACACCGCCUCCAUAGUUCCCAUAUCCCCCUAAAUGUUGCAGAGUUGGGACGAGGAGUCAAGCUAGCCUCUCAGAUGAUUGUAUUGUGAGGAAAAGAGUGGUUGAGGUACAUGUUUUUUGAUGAAACGCUGUCUGAGGUGAAAGGGAGGUAGGAUUGUGACUUGGAUUUUGAUUGUCUGGUCCUCAGAGCUCAUAUUGAAUCACUCUAAAAUCCUGGUUUUGUAACAAUGUAGGCCUAUUUCAGAGAGUUUCUAAUUUUUCUGAACAAGUGUGUAUUUAAAUCAUUUUUUCUAGUCUACAUAUCAAUAGAUGUCACACCGAGUAACAUUUAUACAAAUAUAUAUUUCCAUUGUAUAUAGCCUAACUUGUACAGUCAAUUUCUAUUGUUAAAUUCUUCAUUUAUUUGUAAGUUAAUUUUGUUUACCGUUAUCUGGUAUGUAUGUGCCAGAUCAUGAAACGGGUGAUUAAAUGAAGGUCAAUCAAGAAGGGUGAGAAUUUAAUGACAAAGAAGAUUCAAGCAGGACAAUAGAUAGAUUCAGUUCUCUGUUUAUCACUUCAAUGCUUGUUUGCUGUGCCUGAGUAUUUGUGGUCAUCUUAAUAUCUGCGAUCAUAUCAGUAUCAUUGCUAAGUACCUAGGAUUGAAAUGUGAAAUGAAUUGUUUGGAUGGAAGUCUAUGUAUUUUGGGAUUUCUCUGGUCAAUAUAUUUUACUCAACCAAAGCUGUUGUCCAAAUGCAGUAUUGAGUAUUCUAUUCAGAGCUGUCCUCAUGAAAGCGUAAUGUUGGUGCACCAAAAAAGUGCUUCAAAGACACCAUGAAAAUGUCUCUGAAGGAUUUCAACAUUAAUCCUAUGAUAUGGAAGAGCCUUGCUCCUGACAGACCACUUGGAGAGUUGCAGUCACAGUGUGUGUAAGAAGGAAGCCUGAGAAGCUGCACAUAUCAACAAGUGGAAAUGAAGCUUUAUAAAUGCUCAAAAUGAGGGGAGCUUUUCUCUGUCAGAAUUAAUCAAAUUUGACAUAGCAAAAGCCUCAAGUCCUCUCUUAACCCUUAUUUCUUCUUAUUUGCUUUCUCCUUUGCAGGUGCAUUGGUCAUUGUUAGACAUUGCUGGACGAACUAUUAUCAUCAUUAUUAUAUUUUGUUUGACCACAUCCUCGAUCUGUGAAUUAGAUCUAGAGAGUUGGCCAGAAGACAAAGUACAGUGGGAGGAUGUUACCCUUACACAAGAGAAUCUGUUGUCUACAUGUGAUAUCCCACCUAUAAUAUGGGAGAAAUGCACCUCUAAUGUCAAGGCAGUAUAGUAGACUAUUAUAUCCCCCUGCCUUCUUGGGGCUUUGUACCUGUGAUCAUGUCUUUUGGAAUUUGUGUACACUUGUAGGUCUGUAUUGUAUAAAUGUUUUUCCAUUUUCAUCCCCCCCCCCCUCAAUCUCAUUUCAUUUUGUAUUUCCUCAUUUAUUGUCAGAGUUUAUAUUUUGCUUUCUUUUUUGUUAGUUGUUUUCAACUCAGUGUUACAUGAAGUGAUGAUUUCACUACACAUUCAUAUCUGUCAUGAACAUCUGUCUCCAGUGACUCAGGGUAGGAAAGAUAUGAUCCUCUUCUUGUUUCUGUUUCGGACUUCUCUUGGCCAGGCAGAAGCUAAUUCUCCCCUCCUCACUUGAAUGUUGGCAACUCCAGUGUGCAAAGAUUUUUUUUUAUCUUUGUGGUUUACAUUACUCCUGAUAGCUGAUAAAUAUUUUUAAAUGCACAUUUUAUGUUUUGUUUUAAUUGAAUUAAGAAGUAGCCAUAGCUGUUUUCUUUAAUGUCCUACUCAGUACAUUUAGAAGCUUUUUCAUUUAUUUAUUUUUAUUGCACAUUCUGUCUCUUGGUUUUUUUAAAACACAUUUACAUCAUGUCCAGUGUACAAAUGUAACACUUUGUCCUAAUUCGAACCUUUUUUAAUCGGUAAGCUCUUGAUAAUGAAAAGUGGUGUAGUCUACAUCACUGUCUCUUACAUUUUAAGCCAAUCAUGAAAAGAUUUAUUUUCCUGGAAGUAGCAGUAUCCAGUCUUUUCAAGCAAAGCCGUGAGAAAUGCAUCUUGAAGGAAUACUUUCUUGUGCCUGCCAGCAGGUACUUGAUUUAUGUUUUGAUCUCUCACUGAUUUUGUAUUUUCAUUGGAAGUGAUUACAUAUUCAGUAACAAUAUUUUAGUUUAAAUAUAAUACAAUUUUCACGAACUAUUUAACUCAUCAUAAAUUUGGAUUUUUGUGAGGUUGACCGAAUGAAAUCAUAUUGUAAUAAACAGUACUUUCAAAAUGUUGUUUUUUCACUUGCAUUGUCAUGCCUUGUAUAUAAAACUGAAUCAAGCUCUGAAAGUAUACAUAGUCGUCCUGGAUUUAAAUGACCGAAGACGAGGUUUUUAUUUCAUGUUUAGAUUAUAGUAUUUGUAAUUGUAGUCUCAAAAUGAUUUGUGUAUAUGUGUAGAGCAAUGAACGUUCUUGCAUGGCCACUUGUGAAGGGGACAAACACUUAUAUUUAUAGCUGUUCUGUAAUCACAAAAUGUUUCUUCUACAUAUUGAUCUUUUUCUUCCAAAUUGCUGUGUUAAAACAACAGCUGUAAUGUUUUUAUUGCGUCACUCAACUUCACAAACUCAGAAUGACAUUUAAACUGCUGCUUCACUCUAACUGUUGAACGUUCACGUGUCUUCCCCCCAUGUGUACAGCAUUCACACGAACCGACAUAUAUAUGUAUACAGUGUCACUUCAGUAUUAAAUACAAAAAUCUUUAAGGACAAAAGUGAUAUAUAGACAAGGGGCAUUCAAACUGAAUUUUACUAUACAAAUGAAAAGACUUGCUCUAUUUUUCACUUUCCCUGCUUGUUGUGAGCAUAUUUACAACUGUGUGUCACAUUUUCAACAAACUAGCUUUUUGUGAGUAGUUCAUUUUUUAAGUUUCAACCAAAUGUGAAACGUUCUGAAUUCCACAUUUCCUUGACUGGAUAAAAGGAAUCAUCGUGUGAAGCUUACCACCAAGAAGCAUUAAGCUGUACAUGCUCUGAGACAGUGUGUUUUUCCGAAGUGGUUAUGUAAACGGAAACAACAGAUCAGAGAACUUUUGAUAUGAUUCUCUGAUAUCUUAGAUACUAAGGUUUGAGAAAGCUAUGCACUAUUAUGUUCUUGUCCGUAUGUUUGUUUCAAAUAAAUCUAGUUGAUGAAUUCA